GAUGAACGCUGGCGGCGUGCCUAAUACAUGCAAGUCGAGCGAACGGACGAGAAGCUUGCUUCUCUGAUGUUAGCGGCGGACGGGUGAGUAACACGUGGAUAACCUACCUAUAAGACUGGGAUAACUUCGGGAAACCGGAGCUAAUACCGGAUAAUAUUUUGAACCGCAUGGUUCAAAAGUGAAAGACGGUCUUGCUGUCACUUAUAGAUGGAUCCGCGCUGCAUUAGCUAGUUGGUAAGGUAACGGCUUACCAAGGCAACGAUGCAUAGCCGACCUGAGAGGGUGAUCGGCCACACUGGAACUGAGACACGGUCCAGACUCCUACGGGAGGCAGCAGUAGGGAAUCUUCCGCAAUGGGCGAAAGCCUGACGGAGCAACGCCGCGUGAGUGAUGAAGGUCUUCGGAUCGUAAAACUCUGUUAUUAGGGAAGAACAUAUGUGUAAGUAACUGUGCACAUCUUGACGGUACCUAAUCAGAAAGCCACGGCUAACUACGUGCCAGCAGCCGCGGUAAUACGUAGGUGGCAAGCGUUAUCCGGAAUUAUUGGGCGUAAAGCGCGCGUAGCGGUUUUUUAAGUCUGAUGUGAAAGCCCACGGCUCUUUCGUGGAGGGUCAUUGGAAACUGGAAAACUUGAGUGCAGAAGAGGAAAGUGGAAUUCCAUGUGUAGCGACGAAAUGCGCAGAGAUAUGGAGGAACACCAGUGGCGAAGGCGACUUUCUGGUCUGUAACUGACGCUGAUGUGCGAAAGCGUGGGGAUCAAACAGGAUUAGAUACCCUGGUAGUCCACGCCGUAAACGAUGAGUGCUAAGUGUUAGGGGGUUUCCGCCCCUUAGUGCUGCAGCUAACGCAUUAAGCACUCCGCCUGGGGAGUACGACCGCAAGGUUGAAACUCAAAGGAAUUGACGGGGACCCGCACAAGCGGUGGAGCAUGUGGUUUAAUUCGAAGCAACGCGAAGAACCUUACCAAAUCUUGACAUCCUUUGACAACUCUAGAGAUAGAGCCUUCCCCUUCGGGGGGGCAAAGUGACAGGUGGUGCAUGGUUGUCGUCAGCUCGUGUCGUGAGAUGUUGGGUUAAGUCCCGCAACGAGCGCAACCCUUAAGCUUAGUUGCCAUCAUUAAGUUGGGCACUCUAAGUUGACUGCCGGUGACAAACCGGAGGAAGGUGGGGAUGACGUCAAAUCAUCAUGCCCCUUAUGAUUUGGGCUACACACGUGCUACAAUGGACAAUACAAAGGGCAGCGAAACCGCGAGGUCAAGCAAAUCCCAUAAAGUUGUUCUCAGUUCGGAUUGUAGUCUGCAACUCGACUACAUGAAGCUGGAAUCGCUAGUAAUCGUAGAUCAGCAUGCUACGGUGAAUACGUUCCCGGGUCU
RNAcentral lists this ribosomal RNA (1372 nucleotides) under uncultured bacterium. RNAcentral's name for it is "bacterial SSU rRNA". It matches the Rfam family "Bacterial small subunit ribosomal RNA", at positions 28 to 1381 of the family's 1533-position model. The record is from RNAcentral.